RNAcentral lists this ribosomal RNA (253 nucleotides) under uncultured bacterium. RNAcentral describes it as "partial 16S ribosomal RNA". It matches the Rfam family "Bacterial small subunit ribosomal RNA", at positions 524 to 776 of the family's 1533-position model. The record is from RNAcentral.
UACGUAGGUGGCAAGCGUUGUCCGGAUUUACUGGGCGUAAAGAGCGCGCAGGCGGUCGUUCAAGUCGCGUGUGAAAGCCCCCGGCUCAACUGGGGAGGGUCACGCGAUACUGAUCGACUCGAAGGCAGGAGAGGGAAGUGGGAUUCCCGGUGUAGUGGUGAAAUGCGUAGAUAUCGGGAGGAACACCAGUGGCGAAGGCGACUUCCUGGCCUGUUCUUGACGCUGAGGCGCGAAAGCUAGGGGAGCAAACGGG